Molecule: ribosomal RNA, 503 nt
Filed under: Wolbachia endosymbiont of Drosophila bocki
Lineage: Bacteria; Pseudomonadati; Pseudomonadota; Alphaproteobacteria; Rickettsiales; Anaplasmataceae
Description: partial 23S ribosomal RNA
Rfam family: Bacterial large subunit ribosomal RNA
Source: RNAcentral
UGCACAAGGGAGCUUGACUGUGAGACUGACAGGUCGAGCAGGGACGAAAGUCGGGACUAGUGAUCCGGCACCGGCUUGUGGAAGCGGUGUCGCUCAACGGAUAAAAGGUACCCCGGGGAUAACAGGCUGAUCUUCCCCAAGAGUCCAUAUCGACGGGAUGGUUUGGCACCUCGAUGUCGGCUCGUCGCAUCCUGGGGCUGGAGUUGGUCCCAAGGGUUGGGCUGUUCGCCCAUUAAAGCGGCACGCGAGCUGGGUUUAGAACGUCGUGAGACAGUUCGGUCUCUAUCCGCCGUGCGCGUUGAAACUUGAGAAAGGCUGACCCUAGUACGAGAGGACCGGGUUGGACGUACCUCUGGUGGGCCAGUUGUCACGCCCGUGGCAUUGCUGGUUGGCUACGUACGGGAGGGAUAACCGCUGAAAGCAUCUAAGCGGGAAGCCUGUUUCGAGAUGAGGUUUCGUGUGAGGUUCCCUGUAGACGACGGGGUUGAUAGGCCGGAUCUGGA